GAGUUUGAUCGUGGCUCAGAACGAACGCUGGCGGCAGGCCUAACACAUGCAAGUCGAACGCUCGUAGCAAUACGGGAGUGGCGCACGGGUGAGUAACGCGUGGGCACCUGCCCGGUGGUCCGGGAUAACCGCGGGAAACUGCGGCUAAUACCGAAUACGCCCUUAGGGGGAAAGAUUUAUCGCCAUCGGAUGGGCCCGCGUAGGAUUAGCUAGUUGGUGAGGUAACGGCUCACCAAGGCGACGAUCCUUAGCUGGUCUGAGAGGAUGAUCAGCCACACUGGGACUGAGACACGGCCCAGACUCCUACGGGAGGCAGCAGUGGGGAAUAUUGGACAAUGGGGGCAACCCUGAUCCAGCCAUGCCGCGUGAGUGAAGAAGGCC
This 381-nucleotide ribosomal RNA is filed under the name uncultured Alphaproteobacteria bacterium. RNAcentral describes it as "bacterial SSU rRNA". It matches the Rfam family "Bacterial small subunit ribosomal RNA", at positions 9 to 416 of the family's 1533-position model. Lineage: Bacteria; Pseudomonadati; Pseudomonadota; Alphaproteobacteria. The record is from RNAcentral.